GAUGAACGCCGGCGGCGUGCCUAAUACACGCAAGUCGAGCGAACAGACGAGGAGCUUGCUCCUCCUACGUUAGCGGCGGACGGGUGAGUAACACGUGGAUAACCUACCUAUAAGACUGGGAUAACUUCGGGAAACCGGAGCUAAUACCGGAUAAUAUAUUGAACCGCAUGGAUCAAUAGUGAAAGACGGUUUUGCUGUCACUUAUAGACGGAUCCGCGCCUCAUUAGCUAGUUGGUAGGGUAACGGCUUACCAAGGCGACGAUGCGAAGCCCACCUGAGAGGGUACUCAGCCACACGGGGACUACGGCACGCUCCAGACGCCUACGGUAGACCGCAGUAUGGAAUCUUCGAGAAUCGGCUAAAUCCUGACCGAGCAACGCCGCGUGAGUGAUAAGUGACUUCGUAUCGUGUAGCUCUAUGAGUAGGGAAGAAAAAAUGUGGAAAAAACCGUGCACGUCUUGACGGUACCUGAUCAAAAGGCUACGGCUAGCUACGUG
This 497-nucleotide ribosomal RNA is filed under the name uncultured bacterium. RNAcentral's name for it is "partial 16S ribosomal RNA". It matches the Rfam family "Bacterial small subunit ribosomal RNA", at positions 28 to 507 of the family's 1533-position model. The record is from RNAcentral.